GUGCCAGCCGCCGCGGUAAGACGAACCGUGCAAACGUUGUUCGGAAUCACUGGGCUUAAAGGGCGCGUAGGCGGGGGACCAAGUCCGGGGUGAAAUCUUUCGGCUCAACCGGAAAACUGCCUUGGAUACUGGUUCUCUUGAGGGAGGUAGGGGCAGGUGGAACUUCCGGUGGAGCGGUGAAAUGCGUUGAUAUCGGAAGGAACGCCGGUGGCGAAAGCGGCCUGCUGGAUCUCUUCUGACGCUGAUGCGCGAAAGCUAGGGUAGCGAACGGGAUUAGAAACCCGCGUAGUCC
Molecule: ribosomal RNA, 292 nt
Filed under: uncultured bacterium
Lineage: Bacteria
Description: partial 16S ribosomal RNA
Rfam family: Bacterial small subunit ribosomal RNA
Source: RNAcentral